This 229-nucleotide ribosomal RNA is filed under the name uncultured bacterium. RNAcentral's name for it is "partial 16S ribosomal RNA". It matches the Rfam family "Bacterial small subunit ribosomal RNA", at positions 15 to 235 of the family's 1533-position model. The record is from RNAcentral.
GCUCCUGGCUCAGGAUGAACGCUAGCUACAGGCUUAACACAUGCAAGUCGAGGGGCAGCAUGGUCUUAGCUUGCUAAGGCCGAUGGCGACCGGCGCACGGGUGAGUAACACGUAUCCAACCUGCCGUCUACUCUUGGACAGCCUUCUGAAAGGAAGAUUAAUACAAGAUGGCACCAUGAGUCCGCAUGUUCACAUGAUUAAAGGUAUUCCGGUAGACGAUGGGGAUGCG